CGGGAUGUGGCGCAGCUUGGCUAGCGUACAUGCAUGGGGUGCAUGGGGCCGGAAGUUCGAAUCUUCUCAUCCCGA
This 75-nucleotide transfer RNA is filed under the name Desulfovibrio litoralis DSM 11393. It matches the Rfam family "tRNA". Rfam says of the family: Transfer RNA (tRNA) molecules are approximately 80 nucleotides in length. Their secondary structure includes four short double-helical elements and three loops (D, anti-codon, and T loops). Further hydrogen bonds mediate the characteristic L-shaped molecular structure. tRNAs have two regions of fundamental functional importance: the anti-codon, which is responsible for specific mRNA codon recognition, and the 3' end, to which the tRNAs corresponding amino acid is attached (by aminoacyl-tRNA synthetases). tRNAs cope with the degeneracy of the genetic code in two manners: having more than one tRNA (with a specific anti-codon) for a particular amino acid; and 'wobble' base-pairing, i.e. permitting non-standard base-pairing at the 3rd anti-codon position. The record is from Rfam by way of RNAcentral. Lineage: Bacteria; Pseudomonadati; Thermodesulfobacteriota; Desulfovibrionia; Desulfovibrionales; Desulfovibrionaceae.